Long non-coding RNA from Carica papaya (papaya), 820 nucleotides. RefSeq lists it as uncharacterized. NCBI's taxonomy places the organism in Eukaryota, Viridiplantae, Streptophyta, Magnoliopsida, Brassicales, Caricaceae. The record is from RefSeq and is a predicted model, not a curated record.
AUGCCAGCCUUGGUUGGCCACCGAAAGCACCAACGGCUGUGAUGUCGUACAUGUGUUUGGACAGUCAGAUGAUAGGCCAAAGUCAGUUAAAAGCUUCCUUCUCUUCACAACUUUGUCUUCAUCUUCUUUAAACCCAAAAUUCCAGUUAAACAAGUGAGUGAGUGGGGAGGUUGAGAGCAAAAGACAAUAAAGAGAGAGAGAGAAUGACACACCAGAAUAGAGUAUAUGUUUUGUGUGCGUAACAGAGGGGGGAUACUUCUUCUUCUUGCCGAGAUCUCAAAUUGUAGCAGGAAGCUCCAAAACCCAAAAUCGUUGCUGCUGCACCUGAACGACACCUCUAUUAAGAUGCAGAUUUAGAGGAAAACACUGGAGAGCCAUGUUUAGAUUUCUUUCGGGAAAUGUAGUUUGAAGCAGACUCCGUAUUUUAUUUUAGACUUGUGGCUAGUAUUUGGUAAUUAAGCUAUCUCUUAUUUUGUAUUUUGAAAUGUAGAUGGCCUAUUGGGCCUCAGUAUAUAGUCUUUUAUAAACUUUAUAUGGAUGUAUAGUUCUAUUACAAUAUAAAUAUUUUUAUUAUGUUUGCUAUGUCGCACGUUGGUUCCCCUAUUUGGCAUCGGGACGUCACACAUAACCAUGAUUUCCUUUGUGGCCAUGAAUCCUUAAGUGUAUGUAGCCAUGAUCCCUCAUGUGGUCAUUAGCUUUUAUGUUUCUUUGAGCUUCCAUGUGGCCUAUGAUGAUUUGUGCCACCUUGAUCUUUAUUGAUGUCUUCGUAAUCAUGUUUAUAACUCAUUGAAACCUUAAAUAGUUUAAAGCAGUCCCUAAG